This 863-nucleotide ribosomal RNA is filed under the name Escherichia coli. RNAcentral describes it as "partial 23S ribosomal RNA". It matches the Rfam family "Bacterial large subunit ribosomal RNA", at positions 1936 to 2798 of the family's 2925-position model. The record is from RNAcentral. Lineage: Bacteria; Pseudomonadati; Pseudomonadota; Gammaproteobacteria; Enterobacterales; Enterobacteriaceae.
GUAACUAUAACGGUCCUAAGGUAGCGAAAUUCCUUGUCGGGUAAGUUCCGACCUGCACGAAUGGCGUAAUGAUGGCCAGGCUGUCUCCACCCGAGACUCAGUGAAAUUGAACUCGCUGUGAAGAUGCAGUGUACCCGCGGCAAGACGGAAAGACCCCGUGAACCUUUACUAUAGCUUGACACUGAACAUUGAGCCUUGAUGUGUAGGAUAGGUGGGAGGCUUUGAAGUGUGGACGCCAGUCUGCAUGGAGCCGACCUUGAAAUACCACCCUUUAAUGUUUGAUGUUCUAACGUUGACCCGUAAUCCGGGUUGCGGACAGUGUCUGGUGGGUAGUUUGACUGGGGCGGUCUCCUCCUAAAGAGUAACGGAGGAGCACGAAGGUUGGCUAAUCCUGGUCGGACAUCAGGAGGUUAGUGCAAUGGCAUAAGCCAGCUUGACUGCGAGCGUGACGGCGCGAGCAGGUGCGAAAGCAGGUCAUAGUGAUCCGGUGGUUCUGAAUGGAAGGGCCAUCGCUCAACGGAUAAAAGGUACUCCGGGGAUAACAGGCUGAUACCGCCCAAGAGUUCAUAUCGACGGCGGUGUUUGGCACCUCGAUGUCGGCUCAUCACAUCCUGGGGCUGAAGUAGGUCCCAAGGGUAUGGCUGUUCGCCAUUUAAAGUGGUACGCGAGCUGGGUUUAGAACGUCGUGAGACAGUUCGGUCCCUAUCUGCCGUGGGCGCUGGAGAACUGAGGGGGGCUGCUCCUAGUACGAGAGGACCGGAGUGGACGCAUCACUGGUGUUCGGGUUGUCAUGCCAAUGGCACUGCCCGGUAGCUAAAUGCGGAAGAGAUAAGUGCUGAAAGCAUCUAAGCACGAAACUUGCC